GACGAACGCUGGCGGCGUGCUUAACACAUGCAAGUGGAGCGACGAACCAGGGCUUGCCCUGGGGCAGAGCCGCGAACGGGUGAGUAACACGUGGGUUACCUGCCCCGAUGACCGGGACAACCCGAGGAAACUCGGGCUAAUACCGGAUGUGGUCUUCGGACGAAAGGAAGCUUCGGCCUCCGCAUCGGGAUGGGCCCGCGGCGCAUUAGCUUGUUGGUGGGGUAACGGCCUACCAAGGCGA
Molecule: ribosomal RNA, 241 nt
Filed under: uncultured Actinomycetes bacterium
Lineage: Bacteria; Bacillati; Actinomycetota; Actinomycetes
Description: uncultured actinobacterium partial 16S ribosomal RNA
Rfam family: Bacterial small subunit ribosomal RNA
Source: RNAcentral